AUUGAACGCUGGCGGCAGGCCUAACACAUGCAAGUCGAACGAGUGGCGGACGGGUGAGUAACGUCUGGGAAACUGCCUGAUGGAGGGGGAUAACUACUGGAAGCGGUAGCUAAUACCGCAUACCAUCAGAUGUGCCCAGAUGGGAUUAGCUUGUUGGUGGGGUAACGGCUCACCAAGGCGACGAUCCCUAGCUGGUCUGAGAGGAUGAACAAGAAACUUGGAACUGGGACACGGUCAAGAGUCCUAAGUGAGGCAGGAGUGGGAAAUAUUGCACAAUGAGCGCAAGCCUGAUGCAGCAACUCCGCGUGUAUGAAGACGGCCUUCGGGUUGGAAAGUACUUUCUGCGGGGAGGCGUUACCCGCAGAAGAAGCACCGGCUAACUCCGUGCCAGCAGCCGCGGUAAUUC
Molecule: ribosomal RNA, 406 nt
Filed under: uncultured bacterium
Lineage: Bacteria
Description: partial 16S ribosomal RNA
Rfam family: Bacterial small subunit ribosomal RNA
Source: RNAcentral